UACGUAGGGUGCAAGCGUUGUCCGGAAUUAUUGGGCGUAAAGAGCUCGUAGGCGGUCUGUCGCGUCUGCUGUGAAAACUCGGGGCUUAACCCCGGGCCUGCAGUGGGUACGGGCAGACUAGAGUGCGGUAGGGGAGACUGGAAUUCCUGGUGUAGCGGUGAAAUGCGCAGAUAUCGAGGAGGAACACCGGUGGCGAAGGCGGGGUCUCUGGGCCGUAACUGACGCUGGAGGAGCGGAAAGCGUGGGGAGCGAACAGG
Molecule: ribosomal RNA, 257 nt
Filed under: uncultured bacterium
Lineage: Bacteria
Description: partial 16S ribosomal RNA
Rfam family: Bacterial small subunit ribosomal RNA
Source: RNAcentral